This 481-nucleotide ribosomal RNA is filed under the name uncultured bacterium. RNAcentral describes it as "partial 16S ribosomal RNA". It matches the Rfam family "Bacterial small subunit ribosomal RNA", at positions 28 to 523 of the family's 1533-position model. The record is from RNAcentral.
GACGAACGCUGGCGGCGUGCUUAACACAUGCAAGUCGAGCGGAAAGGCCACUUCGGUGGUACUCGAGCGGCGAACGGGUGAGUAACACGUGAGUAAUCUGCCCCUGGCUUUGGGAUAGCCACCGGAAACGGUGAUUAAUACCGGAUACGACCACUUCUCGCAUGGGAUGGUGGUGGAAAGUUUUUUCGGCCAGGGAUGUGCUCGCGGCCUAUCAGCUUGAUGGUGAGGUAAUGGCUCACCAUGGCUUCGACGGGUAGCCGGCCUGGGGGGGUGACCGGUCACACUGGGACUGAGACACGGCCCAGACUCCUACGGGAGGCAGCAGUGGGGAAUAUUGGACAAUGGGCGGAAGCCUGAUUCAGCAACGCCGCGUGAGGGAUGACGGCCUUCGGGUUGUAAACCUCUUUCAGCAGGGACGAAGCGCAAGUGACGGUACCUGCAGAAGAAGCACCGGCCAACUACGUGCCAGCCGCCGCGGUAA